GACGAACCGUGCGAACGUUGUUCGGAAUCACUGGGCUUAAAGGGCGCGUAGGCGGACACUCAAGUCGGUGGUGAAAUCCUCCGGCUCAACCGGAGAAGAGCUGUCGAUACUGGGUGUCUCGAGGGGUGUAGGGGUCUGUGGAACUUUGGGUGGAGCGGUGAAAUGCGUAGAGAUCCAAAGGAACGCCGGUGGCGAAAGCGACGGACUGGACACCUUCUGACGCUGAGGCGCGAAAGCCAGGGGAGCAAACGGG
Molecule: ribosomal RNA, 253 nt
Filed under: uncultured bacterium
Lineage: Bacteria
Description: partial 16S ribosomal RNA
Rfam family: Bacterial small subunit ribosomal RNA
Source: RNAcentral